CCUACGGGGGGCAGCAGUAGGGAAUAUUGCUCAAUGGGCGAAACCCUGAAGCAGCAACGCCGCGUGGAGGAUGAAGGUUUUCGGAUUGUAAACUCCUUUUGUUAGAGAAGAUAAUGACGGUAUCUAACGAAUAAGCACCGGCUAACUCCGUGCCAGCAGCCGCGGUAAUACGGAGGGUGCAAGCGUUACUCGGAAUCACUGGGCGUAAAGCGCGAGUAGGCGGGAUAGCAAGUCAGAUGUGAAAUCCUAUGGCUUAACCAUAGAACUGCAUUUGAAACUGUUAGUCUAGAGUAUGGGAGAGGUAGGUGGAAUGCUUGGUGUAGGGGUAAAAUCCGUAGAGAUCAAGAGGAAUACUCAUUGCGAAGGCGACCUGCUAGAACAUAACUGACGCUGAUGCGCGAAAGCGUGGGGAGCAAACAGGAUUAGAUACCCGAGUAGUC
RNAcentral lists this ribosomal RNA (440 nucleotides) under uncultured bacterium. Its description in RNAcentral is "partial 16S ribosomal RNA". It matches the Rfam family "Bacterial small subunit ribosomal RNA", at positions 338 to 795 of the family's 1533-position model. The record is from RNAcentral.